AAAGGUAUAGCUCAAGUGAUAGAGUGCAUGCUUAGCAUACACAGGUUCUGAGUUCAAUUCCCAGUACCUUCU
This 72-nucleotide transfer RNA is filed under the name Camelus bactrianus (Bactrian camel). It matches the Rfam family "tRNA". Rfam says of the family: Transfer RNA (tRNA) molecules are approximately 80 nucleotides in length. Their secondary structure includes four short double-helical elements and three loops (D, anti-codon, and T loops). The record is from Rfam by way of RNAcentral. RNAcentral also lists the same sequence under 2 other names. Lineage: Eukaryota; Metazoa; Chordata; Mammalia; Artiodactyla; Camelidae.